CAGGAUGAACGCUGGCGGCAGGCUAAUACAUGCAAGUCGAACGGUAACGACCGGUAGCAAUACUGGGGCGACGAGUGGCGCACGGGUGCGUAACGCGUAUGCAACCUACCCUCAACCGGGGCAUAACGCCGAGAAAUUGGCGCUAAUAUCCCAUGUGUAUGGGAAGUGGCAUCACUACCUAUAUAAAGAUCCGUUGGUUAAGGAUGGGCAUGCGUAACAUUAGCUAGUUGGCGGGGUAACGGCCCACCAAGGCGACGAUGUUUAGGGGUUCUGAGAGGAUUCACCCCCACACUGGAACUGAGACACGGUCCAGACUCCUACGGGAGGCAGCAGUAGGGAAUAUUGGGCAAUGGAGGCAACUCUGACCCAGCCAUGCCGCCGUGAAGGAAGACGGCCCUAUGGGUUGUAAACUUCUUUUGCCGCAGAGUAACCCGGGGGACGCGUCCCCCGCUGAGAGUAUGCGGCGAAUAAGUAUCGGCUAACUCCGUGCCAGCCGCUGC
RNAcentral lists this ribosomal RNA (500 nucleotides) under uncultured bacterium. Its description in RNAcentral is "bacterial SSU rRNA". It matches the Rfam family "Bacterial small subunit ribosomal RNA", at positions 25 to 518 of the family's 1533-position model. The record is from RNAcentral.